CCACCCUCCUCGUCACUUAUCUUAUCAGUGACUGAGGUUUGGCCUGUGCUUUGCUCACAGUUCAGCGGAUAGGAGAGCUGCCGCAGAGAGAUGAAACUUCGUACCCCGAAAUCUGGACUUUUCAAUGAAUUUCGUUCAAAGAAACUCACACGCAUCGCAUGUGAGCCAAGUCUACUGCUUGUGCUUUCAUAGUAUUUUUUUUUCUGAGAACCUCCAAUCGCCCCCUGGCACCCAAUGACGUGAACAGAUUCUUCUCCAUUCAAGGAUUUUGUGGUUAGAUCAGUUGAUAGCUGCUUAACUCUGUGUGGUGUUUAAGUUUGUAUGGGAUGCCCCGGCUUGAGGACAAAAGCAUGUUUCCCACACACUGCUCUUAGUUGUGAAUGCAAUUCAUAUGCACUGUGUGGGGCCCCAUUUCAUGGUGUGUUUCAGCAUGGAUCCCACGUCUGACUAGUAGUAGGCCUACACUCCCAUUCUGGCUCUUGAAUGAUCCCUAGUGUUGUUCAUUUGUUUUGGUCAAAUGGACUUGAGACCCGAGCCGUGGAUGUUAGUCAUUCUGCAUGCAAUGCGGCACCGUGUAGCGUCGUUCCACGUCAAAGUACAAGAGGAUUUCGACACCCGCCAUUGUCAGAUUGUUCCGAAAUCGUUUCUGUAAUUUGUAACAGAUACGAUUAGCAUUCCUGAAGCAUAUUACAUUUUUUUUGUAUGAUUAUUUUAUAAACUAUACAAAACAUACACAUACAAAUGACAACAUCAUACAAACAUCAACUACAUCACACCUGCCCAGACCAGGGUGUCCGUGGGUCCUUAAAGUCUUCAAUUAAUUGAUCUAAAUUCAAAUACAUUUUUAAAAGGUCUUAAAAAUCAAGUAGACCGGGAAAUGGACACACAUUUUUAUUAGGUUCCGUUUACGUUGUGCAGAGGCGAUGUAAAUAAUGGGUGAUAGGAUCGUGAUUUACUUCAAUGGAAGGAACGCAUUUUAGCUUGAGUCACUCGCAGAGCGGAACCACACUCUGUAAUGUUCCCGCAGCGGUCAGAAGUCAGCGAGACACUCGUGACUUCUGACCACAGCUCGUGUAUUUAUCUAUUAGCUAGCAGAGAUUGGCUGUGGUGAAGUAGUAACGGAGGUCGACUUGAAACUACGGUAGACAGUUAACGUUAGUCUGCAGCUACCACGGGAAAGUGCAAAUUCAACGAGAACUGGUUGGAGAACAGCAUUUUUGCUUCGUGGUUAAAAUCAGUUGAAGGGAAUCAAUACGAAGCACGCUGUAUCUUUUGCAAGAAGUCCUUCAACUUGGCACUAUGAUGUUUGACGAAAGCCUCAACCAAACGACAAAAAGUAAACAACUGGACCUGCAUAUACGCUAUUGGGAGGGAAAUCACGUUCAGUCAAGUUACCUGGGGUCGCAGUUCAUGGGGCAUGCAACAGCUCGGGAUUUACUGCAACAUUUCAAAGUAAGUUUUCAGUCGAUUUAUUGAAAUAUUGUUAAUGUUAUUUAUAUUAUGUAUUAGCAAAUGUUAGUUAAUUGUUAUUGUUACGUUCACAUUGCCAUAAUUAGCUAAUGAGAAAAAAUAUGUAUCAGGAUCUAUGAACAGUAUGGUGGUGCUCAGCUGGUUGUUGUGGGGAGCUGCGGCCUCAACACCCUACACAACGCUUUCAAAUGUGGCUUCUCCAUGUGGCAGCUGGAAAAGGUUCUGAGGGCCAUGCACAUUCUUUUCCACAAUGUGCCAGCAAGGAGGGAGGACUACACUGCUCUCACCAAAUCCUUGGUCUUCCCGUUACAUUCUGUGGCCACUGGUGAAUUAAGAACCUGCCUGUGGUGGAGAGGGCCAUAGAAGUAUGGCAAUCAAUGGUGAAGUAUGUGGAUGUGGUGAGAACCAAGAAGCUCCCAACCCCUGGAAUAGGGUCGUUUGACACCAUAGAAAAGCCCAGCAAGAUCAGCUCAUCUCGGCCAAACUGCAGUUCUUCAUGGCUGUCUCCAGGACUUUCAGUCCCUUUUUGACCAAGUACCAGACUGACGAGCUAGUGAUGCCAUUCCUCUGCAAAGGGUUGAUAAAGUCUGCUUAGGCGUUCUGUCAAGAGGGAGCUCCUCCAGAACAUCACUCCACUGCAGAUGAUCAGACUGGAUGUCGCUGACCAAAAUAAUUGGGUCCGCCCGAAGGAAGUUGACAGGCUUGCGUGCCGAGUCAGUCCUCAAGGUGAUGUGAGCACUUCCUCUCUUUCCAGCCCACAGAGACGAGGCUGGAUGUGUUCCUGCAUGGCUUCCUCUGCCAAUCCUACCCUGAGCUUUGGGGUUUCUGUAAGAAGCUGCUUCUUUUGUCCCAUGGGCAGGCAGCCGUCGAGAGAGGCUUCUCCAUCAACAAGGUGGAAACCUGUAACAUGCAGGAGGGUACAGUCAUCGCCCAGAGACAGAUGUGAUUAUGUCACAGUCUGUGGUGGUGUUGUUAAGGUCCCUCUCACCAAGGAGCUGCUGACCUCUGCUGGAUCAGCAAGGUCAAAAUACAGAGCACACCUGGACCAGUAGAAGAGGAAGAGCGAAAGCGCUGUGCAAGGGCAGAAGAGAAAAGCUGCGGAGGACCAUAUAGAUGAGCUGGGGGAAAAAAAGAAGAAACUCUGCUGGAGGUAUCUGGCAGCCUGGAGAAGGAUGCAGACAAAUUUGCAGAGGGAAGAUCCGGCACCUUGAUGUCUCAGCACAUCACCAAGUCCAACACCCUCAGGAGGAGAUAUGAGGAGAAAAUAUUUUAAUUAAAACAAGUGGAAGCAGAGUUGGAGAGUAAGGCCACAGAACUAAGACACAUGCCAUGAUAAAAGAGAGAGAGGACAGCAAGUCAUGUUUCUUCCCUCCAUUUUGAGCAUAGUUGAAAUUACAGUUGUCCCAGGUCCAGUGGAUUGGCACCAGCAAUUAUUGUUUUGUUUUUAUAUGCAGCUAACGUUGCACUGUUGGUUACAAUGUCAACACUGUACGUUAAAUGUUUCCUUGUUAAUGAACACAUUAAUUUUGUAUCUUGUAAAAUACAUUAGUUUAUACUGGAUUAAGCUUACAUUUUCAUUAAUUGUAAUUUCGUUAGAUAUGCUCCAACUUUCCCUCUGACUUGUGCCAACAUCGGUUCUUUUUAAGUCUUGGUUCCAAUAGUUUAUAUAUUUUUCUAAGAGAUUGUCAGUUGGAUAUGCUCUCUGCAAGGUU
Molecule: long non-coding RNA, 3182 nt
Organism: Coregonus clupeaformis (lake whitefish)
Lineage: Eukaryota; Metazoa; Chordata; Actinopteri; Salmoniformes; Salmonidae
Exons: 3
Source: RefSeq, a predicted model, not a curated record